GAUGAAGAACGUAGCGAAAUGCGAUAAGUAAUGUGAAUUGCAGAAUUCAGUGAAUCAUCGAAUCUUUGAACGCACAUUGCGCCCGCCAGUAUUCUGGCGGGCAUGCCUGUUCGAGCGUCAUUACAACCCUCAGGCCCCCGGCCUGGCGUUGGGGAUCGGCGGAAGCCCCCUGCGGGCACAACGCCGUCCCCCAAAUACAGUGGCGGUCCCGCCGCAGCUUCCAUUGCGUAGUAGCUAACACCUCGCAACUGGAGAGCGGCGCGGCCACGCCGUAAAACACCCAACUUCUGAAUGUUGACCUCGAAUCAGGUAGGAAUACCCGCUGAACUUAAGCAUAUCAAUAAGCGGAGGA
RNAcentral lists this unclassified non-coding RNA (352 nucleotides) under soil metagenome. Its description in RNAcentral is "partial contains 5.8S ribosomal RNA, internal transcribed spacer 2, and large subunit ribosomal RNA". The stretch from base 1 to 120 matches the Rfam family "5.8S ribosomal RNA", at positions 35 to 154 of the family's 154-position model. The record is from RNAcentral.